GGCUAUGUGGCGGAGAGGUUAACGCGUCAGGUUUAGGCCCUGGUCACUACUUGUGGCGUGGGUUCGAAUCCCACCAUAGUCA
Molecule: transfer RNA, 82 nt
Filed under: Anaeromyces robustus
Lineage: Eukaryota; Fungi; Neocallimastigomycota; Neocallimastigomycetes; Neocallimastigales; Neocallimastigaceae
Rfam family: tRNA
About the family: Transfer RNA (tRNA) molecules are approximately 80 nucleotides in length. Their secondary structure includes four short double-helical elements and three loops (D, anti-codon, and T loops).
Source: Rfam by way of RNAcentral